UGGGGAAUCUUCCGCAAUGGACGAAAGUCUGACGGAGCAACGCCGCGUGUACGACGAAGGCCUUCGGGUUGUAAAGUACUGUCUUUAGGGACGAACGGUAUGGGUGUGAAGAAUGCCCAUACAUGACGGUACCUAAGGAGGAAGCCCCGGCUAACUACGUGCCAGCAGCCGCGGUAAUACGUAGGGGGCGAGCGUUGUCCGGAAUCAUUGGGCGUAAAGGGCGCGUAGGCGGAUAUUUAAGUCUGGUGUGAAAGUCUAGGGCUUAACCUUAGGAUUGCACCGGAAACUGGAUAUCUUGAGGACAGGAGAGGAAAGCGGAAUUCCACGUGUAGCGGUGAAAUGCGUAGAUAUGUGGAGGAACACCAGUGGCGAAGGCGGCUUUCUGGACUGUAACUGACGCUGAGGCGCGAAAGCGUGGGGAGCAAACAGG
RNAcentral lists this ribosomal RNA (430 nucleotides) under uncultured bacterium. Its description in RNAcentral is "bacterial SSU rRNA". It matches the Rfam family "Bacterial small subunit ribosomal RNA", at positions 355 to 776 of the family's 1533-position model. The record is from RNAcentral.